AACGCGAAGAACCUUACCUAGGCUUGACAUGUGGAGAAAUCCGGUAGAGAUGCCGGGUCCUUCGGGGCUCCUCACAGGUGGUGCAUGGCUGUCGUCAGCUCGUGUCGUGAGAUGUUGGGUUAAGUCCCGCAACGAGCGCAACCCUCGUUCUAUGUUGCCAGCGGGUAGUGCCGGGGAUUCAUAGGAGACUGCCGGGGUCAACUCGGAGGAAGGUGGGGACGACGUCAAGCCAUCAUGCCCCUUAUGUCUAGGGCUGCACGCAUGCUACAAUGGCCGGUACAGAGGGCUGCGAUACCGCGAGGUGGAGCGAAUCCCACAAAGCCGGCCUCAGUUCGGAUUGGGGUCUGCAACUCGACCCCAUGAAGUCGGAGUCGCUAGUAAUCGCAGAUCAGCAACGCUGCGGUGAAUACGUUCCCGGGUCUUGUACACACCG
RNAcentral lists this ribosomal RNA (433 nucleotides) under uncultured bacterium. RNAcentral's name for it is "bacterial SSU rRNA". It matches the Rfam family "Bacterial small subunit ribosomal RNA", at positions 958 to 1392 of the family's 1533-position model. The record is from RNAcentral.